Molecule: long non-coding RNA, 274 nt
Filed under: Phoenix dactylifera (date palm)
Lineage: Eukaryota; Viridiplantae; Streptophyta; Magnoliopsida; Arecales; Arecaceae
Description: long non-coding RNA (PDAC_LNC014743)
Source: RNAcentral
AGAGGAGAAAAUGGGUCGUACCCACAAUGGGUCAUCCAGAUCAACUAUAUGACAUGGUCAUAUAAUCUCUAAAGACUUUUGAAGUCCUACAGAUCAAGUAAGGCCUAAGAUGAACAAUAUCUAAAUAAUAUACAAAAAUUUAAAAUAAAAAUUAAUAAUCAAUUCAAUUCAAUAAAAUCACUACAAUUAAUUGAUCAACUAGCUCAAUUACAAAAUUUCAGAUAUUCAUCGGUAUCCAAAAAAUAGAGAUAACUAACUAAUAGCUCUGCAGCUC